This 559-nucleotide ribosomal RNA is filed under the name uncultured bacterium. RNAcentral describes it as "bacterial SSU rRNA". It matches the Rfam family "Bacterial small subunit ribosomal RNA", at positions 1 to 579 of the family's 1533-position model. The record is from RNAcentral.
AGAGUUUGAUUAUGAGCAUCAGGAUGAACGCUAGCGAGCGUSCCUAAUAGACAUGCAAGUMGAACGGGAGGGAAGAAUUUMGGUUCAUCCCGAGAGUGAGCGAACGGGUGCGUAACACGUAGAUGACCUGCCCUGGAGAGGGGGACAACCACGGGAAACUGUGGCUAAUACCCCGGAUGUCUGAGAGAUUAGAGGCUUUCAGACUGAAGGCUCCGGCGCUCUGGGAGGGGUCUGCGGCCCAUCAGCUAGUUGGUAGGGUAACGGCCUACCAAGGCAAAGACGGGUAGGGGGCGUGAGAGACGUGGCCCCCCACACUGGUACUGAAACACGGACCAGAUACCUACGGGUAGCAGCAGCAAGGGAUAUUGCGCAAUGGAGGAAACUCUGACGCAGCGACGCGCGGCGGGAUGAAGGCCUUCGGGUGAAACCGCUGUGGAGAGGGAUGAAUUUUGACAAGACCUCUCUAGAAAGCACCUGCUAACUACGUGCCAGAAGCCUCGGUAAUACGAGGGUGCAAGCGUUAUCCGGAUUUACUGGGCGAAAGCGUCCAUGUAGCGGA